GACGAACGCUGGCGGCGUGCUUAACACAUGCAAGUCGAACGGAAAGGCCCUGCUUUUGUGGGGUGCUCGAGUGGCGAACGGGUGAGUAACACGUGAGUAACCUGCCCUUGACUUUGGGAUAACUUCAGGAAACUGGGGCUAAUACCGGAUAGGAGCUCCUGCUGCCUGGUGGGGGUUGGAAAGUUUCGGCGGUUGGGUAUGGACUCGCGGCUUAUCAGCUUGUUGGUGGGGUAGUGGCUUACCAAGGCUUUGACGGGUAGCCGGCCUGAGCGGGUGACCGGCCAGAUGGGGACUGAGAUACGGCCCAGACUCCUACGGGAGGCAGCAGUGGGGAAGAUUGCAGAAUGGGCGGAAGCAUGAUGCAGAAACGCCGCGUGCGGGAUGACGGCCUUCGGGUUGUAAACCGCUUUCGCCUGUGACGAAGCGUGAGUGACGGUAAUGGGUAAAGAAGCACCGGCUAACUACGUG
RNAcentral lists this ribosomal RNA (468 nucleotides) under uncultured bacterium. Its description in RNAcentral is "partial 16S ribosomal RNA". It matches the Rfam family "Bacterial small subunit ribosomal RNA", at positions 28 to 507 of the family's 1533-position model. The record is from RNAcentral.